GCCUUGGUAGCUCAGUCAGUAGAGUGUGAGACUCUCAACCUUAGGGUCAUGGGUUCAAGUCCCAUGUAGGGCA
Zootoca vivipara (common lizard) is the source of this 73-nucleotide non-coding RNA. Lineage: Eukaryota; Metazoa; Chordata; Lepidosauria; Squamata; Lacertidae. The record is from the annotation of a RefSeq genome assembly.